This 253-nucleotide ribosomal RNA is filed under the name uncultured bacterium. Its description in RNAcentral is "partial 16S ribosomal RNA". It matches the Rfam family "Bacterial small subunit ribosomal RNA", at positions 524 to 776 of the family's 1533-position model. The record is from RNAcentral.
UACGUAGGGUGCAAGCGUUAAUCGGAAUUACUGGGCGUAAAGCGUGCGCAGGCGGUUGUGCAAGUCAGACGUGAAAUCCCCCGGCUUAACCUGGGAACUGCGUCUGAUACUGGGAGGCUUGAGUAUGGGAGAGGGAUGUAGAAUUCCAGGUGUAGCGGUGAAAUGCGUAGAUAUCUGGAGGAAUACCGGUGGCGAAGGCGGCAUCCUGGACCAUAACUGACGCUGAGGCGCGAAAGCUAGGGGAGCAAACGGG